This 469-nucleotide ribosomal RNA is filed under the name uncultured bacterium. Its description in RNAcentral is "bacterial SSU rRNA". It matches the Rfam family "Bacterial small subunit ribosomal RNA", at positions 29 to 494 of the family's 1533-position model. The record is from RNAcentral.
AGCGAACGUUUGCGGCGGGCCUAACACAUGCAAGUCGAACGCACUAGCAAUAGUGAGUGGCGCACGGGUGCGUAACACGUGGGUAAUCAACCCUUCAGCUUGGGAUAACGACUUGAAAGGGUCGCUAAUACCGGAUACGGCGCGGGAGGCUUCGGCUUCUCACGAGAAAGCCUCGCAAGGGGCACUGAAGGACGAGCCUGCGGCCCAUCAGCUAGUUGGUGAGGUAAGAGCUCACCAAGGCGAAGACGGGUAGCUGGUCUGAGAGGAUGAUCAGCCACACUGGAACUGAGACACGGUCCAGACUCCUACGGGAGGCAGCAGUGGGGAAUAUUGCGCAAUGGGCGAAAGCCUGACGCAGCCACGCCGCGUGAGCGAUGAAGGCCUUCGGGUCGUAAAGGCUCUGUGGGGAGGAGACGAAGAAAGACCCGUGAAGAGCGGGCCGUUGACGGUAGUCUCCUUAGCAAGCACC